RNAcentral lists this ribosomal RNA (360 nucleotides) under Saltella sphondylii. RNAcentral describes it as "partial 12S ribosomal RNA". Lineage: Eukaryota; Metazoa; Arthropoda; Insecta; Diptera; Sepsidae. The record is from RNAcentral.
UAGAUACCCUAUUAUUUGAAAUGUAAUUUAUUUACUAAAGUAGUAAUAGUUAUGUUCUUGAAACUUAAAAAAUUUGGCGGUAUUUUAGUCUAUUCAGAGGAACCUGUCCUGUAAUCGAUAAUCCACGAUGGACCUUAUUUAAAUUUGUUUAUCAGUUUAUAUACCGUCGUUAUAAGAAUAUUUUAUAAGAACAAUAAUUUUCUAGAAUUUUUAUAAAAAUUUAUAUCAGAUCAAGGUGUAGCUUAUGUUUAAAUAGAGAUGGGUUACAAUAAAUUUAUUUACACGAAUUAAUUUUUGAAAUAAGAUUAUGAAGGUGGAUUUGAAUGUAAAAUUGUAAAGAUAAACAAUUUGAUUUUAGCU